AUGUUGCCUUAUCGGCUCGCUUGUCAGGACUGUGGUGUGAAGUUUGACACCAUCCGCCGCUUCAAGCAGCAUGUCCGCAGGAAGCAACAUCAACAGCAAGUGGCAGAGCUCUUCCAGACAGAUGAGUACCACGGUCAAGUCUACUUUGCCCCUUUCUUGGUUCUGGAGCAUCUGGCCAGGAAACCCACAAACACCCCAUAUCCCAUCAUCGGUCUGUGCCUGGUGACAUUGUGUGUGAGUCCAGAGGGGAGGGAUACUUUCUACCUUUGUCACAGUUGUGAGGAGAAGUGUGGCCCAGGACAGAUCAUAGACCACCUCCUCUCUGCUGACCACCUCUCCAACUACUAUAGCUACACAGACCCUGAUGUGUUGAGUUUCUCCUGGAUGCCUAACAUGGAUAUGUUGAACCUCCUACGGCCGCUAGCUGUCAAAGAGAUGGACAAGAAUGGACCUGGAGUGCUACGGGUGCUGGACAUGCCUAAGAGUGUGUCUGUGAAGUUGAAGACAAGUGGCUACUCUAAAGUCAUGCAGGCCCUGACUCAGACUGACAGGCUGGCUGAGUGUAUCAGAGCUGACAGACCAGAAAGGAUGACUAUACAAGAGUACCACAGAGACCCCAACAGGAAACACCCUCUGCUGGGUCUACAGCACCUGGUGGAGUACUGCUGUGAAGGGCAUGGCCAAAGGAGAUCCUACCUCUGUCAGCUCUGCCGCCUCCCUGUCCCCUCACGGAGGGUCAUCCAACACACACUCGGCUUCGACCACCUCUACUGGUACUUCAAGGUGUUUCACCCCUCCACCCUCCUGAUGAAGGACUGUUAUAAAGAGUACAGCUGCAGGUUCAUCGCCAUGAUCCUGGACCUGGCCAAUCAGGUGCAAGACAUCAGUCAGUCAGCCAAUAUGGAGAUACAGCAAGUUGUGUUGGAACCAGCAGUGUUCUCCUCAGUUGAGUUUUCUGUUUACACAGAGGCUCUGAGGAAGUUGCAGACCAUUAGGAGAGCUCGUAAGGAGGGCAGCCUUAAGACCAGCAUUAUACCUGGACACAAACUGGUUCCUUCCUCAGAAGGGUCAAAGAUUACCAAAGAUGUUACCAUGACUAACGUUGCUGAGGCUGUUCCUAUGGAGACCAAGUCAAGCCCAGAGAAGACCGAUGUCACACCUACAGCUGUUGAGACUGUAGCUACAGCAAGUACUGCUCCAGUUGUUACCAAAGCUACUAGCCAGAGGGGGACCUGUCGACUGCACUGUCAGGACUGCAACGUGGUAUGUGAGUCUGUGUCGCAUUACAAGUUACAUGUGCGUCACUGGAAACACAAGGAGAUGCUAGGAGUUAUCUUUGAACCAGGGGACGAGGACAGUAAAGCCUGCAUCCCAUCCUUUACCUUGUAUGAGUACAUCCGGAACUCAGAAAGAACUGAACCAAUUAUUGGUGUCUAUCUGUUGGUGAUGUGUUUGAGUACUGAGUGUUGGAAAACGCCCUUCUACCUGUGUCACACCUGUCAGGAGAUAAUCCCUGCCAAUCUCGUCAUGACUCACCUCACCUCCACACUCCACCUUCGACGCACCCUGAUGUACCAGAGUCCGCAGUGUCUGCCAUUUGGGUGGGGGACAGAAAUGGGCCUGGAGGUCCUGAAGACUUUGGCCUGGGAGGAGGAGAGAGUCCGAGGAGAGAGAGACAAUGUACUGAAGGUAGGGAAGGAUGGGGGGAGAAGGGGAAGGAUGGGGGGAGAAGGGGAAGUUGCUCUGGAGAUGUGA
Long non-coding RNA from Oncorhynchus kisutch (coho salmon), 1755 nucleotides. Lineage: Eukaryota; Metazoa; Chordata; Actinopteri; Salmoniformes; Salmonidae. The record is from Ensembl.